This 426-nucleotide ribosomal RNA is filed under the name uncultured bacterium. Its description in RNAcentral is "partial 16S ribosomal RNA". It matches the Rfam family "Bacterial small subunit ribosomal RNA", at positions 354 to 796 of the family's 1533-position model. The record is from RNAcentral.
GUGAGGAAUUUUCCGCAAUGGGCGAAAGCCUGACGGAGCAAAGCCGCGUGAAGGAUGAAGGCCUAUGGGUUGUAAACUUCUUUUCUCAGAAAAGAAUUAUGACGGUAUCUGAGGAAUAAGCAUCGGCUAACUCUGUGCCAGCAGCCGCGGUAAGACAGAGGAUGCAAGCGUUAUCCGGAAUGAUUGGGCGUAAAGCGUCUGUAGGUUGUUUAAAAAGUAUUCUGUCAAAGAUUAGGGCUUAACCCUAGAUAGGCAGAAUAAACUUUUAAGCUAGAGUUUGGUAGAGGCAGAGGGAAUUCCCGGUGGAGCGGUGAAAUGCGUAGAUAUCGGGAGGAACACCAAAGGCGAAGGCACUCUGCUGGGCCAAUACUAACACUGAGAGACGAAAGCGAGGGGAGCAAAUGGGAUUAGAAACCCCUGUAGUCC